GGGCCCGUAGCCGAGCUUGGAUAAGGCACCGGCCUCCGGAGCCGGAGAACAUGGGUUCGAGUCCCAUCGGGCCCGCCA
Molecule: transfer RNA, 78 nt
Filed under: Candidatus Bathyarchaeota archaeon
Lineage: Archaea; Thermoproteati; Candidatus Bathyarchaeota
Also listed under: 1 other name
Description: tRNA-Arg
Rfam family: tRNA
About the family: Transfer RNA (tRNA) molecules are approximately 80 nucleotides in length. Their secondary structure includes four short double-helical elements and three loops (D, anti-codon, and T loops). Further hydrogen bonds mediate the characteristic L-shaped molecular structure. tRNAs have two regions of fundamental functional importance: the anti-codon, which is responsible for specific mRNA codon recognition, and the 3' end, to which the tRNAs corresponding amino acid is attached (by aminoacyl-tRNA synthetases). tRNAs cope with the degeneracy of the genetic code in two manners: having more than one tRNA (with a specific anti-codon) for a particular amino acid; and 'wobble' base-pairing, i.e. permitting non-standard base-pairing at the 3rd anti-codon position.
Source: RNAcentral